This 631-nucleotide ribosomal RNA is filed under the name Streptomyces sp. So1Ps_529. RNAcentral's name for it is "bacterial SSU rRNA". It matches the Rfam family "Bacterial small subunit ribosomal RNA", at positions 383 to 1022 of the family's 1533-position model. RNAcentral also lists the same sequence under 1 other name. Lineage: Bacteria; Bacillati; Actinomycetota; Actinomycetes; Kitasatosporales; Streptomycetaceae. The record is from RNAcentral.
CUGAUGCAGCGACGCCGCGUGAGGGAUGACGGCCUAUCGGGUUGUAAACCUCUUUCAGCAGGGAAGAAGCGAAAGUGACGGUACCUGCAGAAGAAGCGCCGGCUAACUACGUGCCAGCAGCCGCGGUAAUACGUAGGGCGCAAGCGUUGUCCGGAAUUAUUGGGCGUAAAGAGCUCGUAGGCGGCUUGUCACGUCGGGUGUGAAAGCCCGGGGCUUAACCCCGGGUCUGCAUCCGAUACGGGCAGGCUAGAGUGUGGUAGGGGAGAUCGGAAUUCCUGGUGUAGCGGUGAAAUGCGCAGAUAUCAGGAGGAACACCGGUGGCGAAGGCGGAUCUCUGGGCCAUUACUGACGCUGAGGAGCGAAAGCGUGGGGAGCGAACAGGAUUAGAUACCCUGGUAGUCCACGCCGUAAACGUUGGGAACUAGGUGUUGGCGACAUUCCACGUCGUCGGUGCCGCAGCUAACGCAUUAAGUUCCCCGCCUGGGGAGUACGGCCGCAAGGCUAAAACUCAAAGGAAUUGACGGGGGCCCGCACAAGCAGCGGAGCAUGUGGCUUAAUUCGACGCAACGCGAAGAACCUUACCAAGGCUUGACAUAUACCGGAAAGCAUUAGAGAUAGUGCCCCCCUUGUG